UGGGGAAUUUUGGACAAUGGGCGAAAGCCUGAUCCAGCAAUGCCGCGUGUGUGAAGAAGGCCUUCGGGUUGUAAAGCACUUUUGUCCGGAAAGAAAUCCUUGGCUCUAAUACAGUCGGGGGAUGACGGUACCGGAAAAAUAAGCACCGGCUAACUACGUGCCAGCAGCCGCGGUAAUACGUAGGGUGCAAGCGUUAAUCGGAAUUACUGGGCGUAAAGCGUGCGCAGGCGGUUUGCUAAGACCGAUGUGAAAUCCCCGGGCUCAACCUGGGAACUGCAUUGGUGACUGGCAGGCUAGAGUAUGGCAGAGGGGGGUAGAAUUCCACGUGUAGCAGUGAAAUGCGUAGAGAUGUGGAGGAAUACCGAUGGCGAAGGCAGCCCCCUGGGCCAAUACUGACGCUCAUGCACGAAAGCGUGGGGAGCAAACAGGAUUAGAUACCCCUGGUAGUCCACGCCCUAAACGAUGUCAACUAGUUGUUGGGGAUUCAUUUCCUUAGUAACGUAGCUAACGCGUGAAGUUGACCGCCUGGGGAGUACGGUCGCAAGAUUAAAACUCAAAUGAAUUGACGGGGUCAUAGCUGUUUCCU
RNAcentral lists this ribosomal RNA (586 nucleotides) under uncultured bacterium. RNAcentral's name for it is "partial 16S ribosomal RNA". It matches the Rfam family "Bacterial small subunit ribosomal RNA", at positions 355 to 1375 of the family's 1533-position model. The record is from RNAcentral.